Molecule: long non-coding RNA, 308 nt
Organism: Herpailurus yagouaroundi (jaguarundi)
Lineage: Eukaryota; Metazoa; Chordata; Mammalia; Carnivora; Felidae
Exons: 3
Source: RefSeq, a predicted model, not a curated record
CUCCUGCUGGGGCGAUGGGCGGGGCCCCACCCCCUUCCUCCCAGGGCACCGGAGCCAGUGGCUGCGCGGGUGGGUCAGCCUGGAAGACCCGGGGCGGGAGAGAAGAGCCGGCCCAGGACGUGUCCCCAGCGGCUGGACGAGAGGCUGUGUGCUCGGGCCCCGACGCCAACUCGGAAACACUGCCGAGGAGCAGCAGCUGAAGACGCCUGAGCCCCGGGAGCCCCGGGCCUGCUUCCUGGGCCCUGCACUCCCAGGGCUGCACCCCAGCCUGGCCCACCUGCAGUGGGCGUCCUGUCACCUCGACGACU